Molecule: long non-coding RNA, 2423 nt
Organism: Gasterosteus aculeatus aculeatus (three-spined stickleback)
Lineage: Eukaryota; Metazoa; Chordata; Actinopteri; Perciformes; Gasterosteidae
Source: Ensembl
GCCGAUUUGAUUUGCUUUACAGUGGAGCUUCUUUUACUUGUUUCCAUUAGCUAACGUCAUCUGGCCAGUUAUGAUGAGCUAGCGUGGCAAAUUCGGACAUUCGGCGUUUAGUGUUUAACGCGCCGAAGCAGCAUCGUUACAACCAUUUUUAGCCACGUCAACUGCUCAAAAGAACUGUUAUGUCCGCCGCGGCCCCGCGGCGAGCGCCGGACGGGCACGGCGCUAGCUGCUAAGCUAACUACCUGCAGCUUACCUGAUGACGAACCUGUCACAUCCAGCUGCACUUCAGCAGCCGCCGCCGCCUCUCGAGAGCGCUAUUUCGGUUGUGACGGGACCCGCGGACGGUAGGAACAGGACGGGGAGAAGAAAAGAUAUGGGUCUUCGGACGAGACUCCUGACUUUUUCUGUCCUCGGGCCAACUUUUCGUGGUUUCAAAAAACGGUAUUUUAUUGAAAAGGCAGAAGGAAAGUGGUACAGUCCAGAUGCACCAAGGGUAAAGGGAGGGGGAGCUCGUUACCUAGGAAACAACAGUGAAUCUCCCUGUGGCGAAAGAUGUGGCCGCUGAUUUAUGGACCAGUGCCUCCCUGUCUGUCCGUCAAAACCGCCUGCCAUCGAAUAGAUGAUUAAGAUUGAGAAGAUUAAAGACAUUUGACAACACCUAUUGCAAUUUAUUCUGUGAGAAAAGCAGAUCGAAGCACCUAAAUCAGCAUACCAUCACCACUUGAUGCUUUGCGGAGGAGCAUGUACAUCCCCAGCAUUUUGCGGGCUAAUUGCAUGCAGCUGGCUGAAUUUAGCGAUCCAUGACACACAGAGACCCUUUGUCAGCAAGAAGCACAGCGAGUCAACAAGGAGUAAGUCACAAAUAUCCCCGGAAUGAGCAGAGAGGCACAAAUUUAGCCCCACUGACUGCUGCCCACGCCAUGUGCUGCCUAUUGAGCGUGCGGACAAUGAACACAGCCAUCACAGACUGCUCUGUCAGGUCCAAGGCCAUGCUUCAGUGGAAUGGUACCAGGAAUGAAGGCAUCGCAGUUUGACAGGAGUCGGGCCAUCGGCGGUGUCGGGGACCAAAGACGGUGUUAGUUAUUGCUGUGAUAUUUCAUAACAACAGCUGUUCGAAGCAGAGACCUUAAUGGGCUCAAUUUAUUGCCAAUCAAUGAUCAAUCCUGAGUCAGACGGGUGGUGGUCGGCAUGUGCUUCUGCCUCGUGUCACAAUAUAUUGUGGCAUUUGAUGCAUCGCAGUGGUGGCGUUCACAUUACUCCACAUUAUCUCAGUCAGAGCGACAGUGUUAAACAAGUGUUAAAGAAAACCAAGAAUGCCGACGUGUUCGUGCUCUAUUCAGCAUUUAUUAUCAGAAGGAUAUCAGCGCCGCAAGGUUUUACCCAACCACAUAUUUUAUCUGUGUAUUGCAAGUGGAAAAGCAAAAUACAACACAUCCAAGGCAGCGCCACAAUGGAGGAAAACUGUAUUUUUAAGACCUAACUGAUAAUGAAAAACUGCUUGCAUAGGUCAAGCUCCUCCCCAAAGGCCUAAUGUAUUGAUCUCAAUGCAGAGGAGGCAGCGCCGGCUGCUGCCGGCAAUACUUCUCUUAAAAGUCCCUGAACGCCCACACACUCGCAAACAAACACAAACUUGCCUCACGCUCAUGGAAAACACAACGGCGCAGAAACAUCAAUUUAACAAGAUCUCUUCUUUACUUUGACUUUGAGGUCGGCGCGUUGACGUCGGCAAAGGGGUUGAAACGCUUGUGUCACUUCCCCCUCCUCCUUGCUCUGUGCUGGACGAAGCCAUUUAGCUGCUAUUCAGCGGCGCGCUUAUCGUGGCUGCCGUUUGGGAAACGGGGGCCUCGGCACAUGCUGUGCUCAUCAAGCUGUUUUGACUUUACAUUCGUUGUACUUGUAGUCUGCGGGGAUGACCUCGGGGUCAAACUGAGGGGGCGUCGGGCUGAAAAACAACCGCUGCAUCUAGGCAACAUCGCUGUUGUCCAAAGCGCACAAUGAGGUGGACCCCCGCGGAUAGAAGACAUUAAUAAACAACGGGCCUUAAAGACAGGCCACACACACACACACACACACAGCGGUGGGCAUGGCUUUUGCGGCAAGAACAGAAUUGAUCUUGGAAAUCCUUGCACACUGAACGAGAACACACCUGAUUGUGAAAGCUUUUGACCCAAAUGCUUAAUGCAGCGCAGGUUUAUUAGAAAAGAGCUUAUGGCCGACACAAAGCUCAAUGGGUGUAUGUGUGCGCACCCUCAUGGAGGUUUAGUCAAUUCGAUUGAUGGUGGGGAGAUCACAUGGGCAUUUUACCCCCACAAUGACUUGGACGAGCGUUCUCUUUUUACGCAUCACAUGGUCUGACCAGUGAUGGAUUGGAGACGGGCCUUCGCCGGGGCUCGGAGCAAACCGGUUACCGAGUGCAUGUGCAU